CCGCCUGCCGUUCUCUCGCAGUCUCCUCAUCCUUCAUUUUGAAGGCUUCUUCCGCUCGGGCAUACCCUUCGGCCAGAGCCAACAGAUCAGCAAAAUCUCUGGGGUACUUUUUCUCCAGAGAGAACAAAAGGUCAUUCUUCUGAAGGCCGCCCUUCAGAGCGGCCAUUGCUACCGACUGGUCCAAGUUCCGGACCUCCAGCN
Molecule: long non-coding RNA, 201 nt
Filed under: Elaeis guineensis (African oil palm)
Lineage: Eukaryota; Viridiplantae; Streptophyta; Magnoliopsida; Arecales; Arecaceae
Description: long non-coding RNA (EGUI_LNC070148)
Source: RNAcentral